This 1298-nucleotide long non-coding RNA is filed under the name Sus scrofa (pig). RNAcentral's name for it is "lncRNA (ENSSSCG00015047620.1)". Lineage: Eukaryota; Metazoa; Chordata; Mammalia; Artiodactyla; Suidae. The record is from RNAcentral.
GUGUCAGUGUCAUUCUGUAAACUAAUAUCAACAAAUACACAGAUUGUAUAAUUGGAAGGAACACACCAUGAAGAUUUUUUUGAUCUCCCUCCAAGGCACCAAUCGUUCUACUAAGUACCCAUGGGGUUGAAUAACUUUCCAAUGGUGAAAUUACUACCUCCCAAAGCAAAGUGUGCCUUAUUUUCUGCAGAAAUCUUCCCGCCCUGUUCCUGCUGCCUUCUGCUCUCUGCAGUUAGAAUGCAGUUAAACCCUCUCCAUAGCACCUCAGCUAUGUCCCACUAGAGAGCUUCCUCCUUCAGGAAGAUUCUCUCCCUGACUCUUUCUUGCACUAAGUUCCUCACGAGAAAUGAGAUUCUUUCCCCUGCCCCUUGUCUGGACUUAGUGUAUCUUUUAAAAUGUGCUGUUUUAGGAGGCUGUGCAUUCUUCCUCGUGAAAGACAAGAACAUUUUUGAGUUCCUCUUAUUGUCCUAAGCUGAGUGAAUCGUGGUUUCACUUUAUUUCUGGACAGUUACAGCCAACAGACACAACCUUUGCCCCCAAACACCGCAUUCACUUUGCACAAAUUUGUUGACCUCACACCUAAAUCAGCUUUUAUUGAACCCUCAUCUGAACAAACAAACAUUCAUUCUGAUCUGCGGAUAUCCCGUGCGGCGUCAGGAAGGGCCGGCUCUGCACUGCUGGCUCAGUGAGCUUGCCACCGAUACAGAUUCGGUUUCCUUUUGCUCCUGACUUUAAGAAGUAAGACAAAAAAGCAAUUCCUGCUAAUCUCUUAGACAAUGCAAAAGGCUCCACACUCUAUUCCAGGAAGCUGGUUUCAACAAGGUAACAGACCACCAAGCCCAGAAGGGAGUCUAGGGAUAUCGACAAGGAGGUGGCAUUCAGGCUCUCCAGGAGGCCCGGGGGCCCGCUCUGUCUAUCGCUCCCCACCCCCGGCUGCACCGUCACUUCAAUGCCCGGCAGAUCGCGGGCUGCGGCUCUUUCAAAGGCGGCGGAGGACCAGGGGCGCCCCGCGCCAAGGCUGACUCGGACCGGCGCCGAAGCCUGACCCGUGCGCCCUUGGGCACCGACGCGCGUCCCUGUGCACUUCGGGCCCGCGUGGGGCAGCCCCGGCCAGGAUGGCCCCAGGCCGGGCAGUGGCAGGGCUCCUGUUGCUGGCGGCCGCCGGCCUCGGAGGAGAGACUGCGGGGCCCGAGCUCGCCUUCAGCGAGGAUGUGCUGAGCGUGUUCGGCGCGAACAGGAGCCUGUCGGUGGCGCAGCUCCGGCGCUUGUUGGAGCAGCUGGGAUCCGGCCCCGUGGAG